CGGACGGGUGAGUAACGCGUGAGAAUCUACCAAAAGGACUGGGACAACCACUGGAAACGGUGGCUAAUACCGGAUGAGCCGAAAAGUAAAAAGGGAAACCUGCCUUUUGAAGAGCUCGCGUCUGAUUAGCUAGUUGGUGAGGUAAGAGCUCACCAAGGCAGCGAUCAGUAGCUGGUCUGAGAGGAUGACCAGCCACACUGGGACUGAGACACGGCCCAGACUCCUACGGGAGGCAGCAGUGGGGAAUUUUCCGCAAUGGGCGAAAGCCUGACGGAGCAAGACCGCGUGAGGGAAGAAGGCUCUUGGGUCGUAAACCUCUUUUAUCAGGGAAGAAAAAAAUGACGGUACCUGAAGAAUCAGCCUCGGCUAACUCCGUGCCAGCAGCCGCGGUAAUACGGAGGAGGCAAGCGUUAUCCGGAAUUAUUGGGCGUAAAGCGUCCGCAGGUGGCUUAUCAAGUCUGCUGUCAAAGAGUGGGGCUUAACCCCAUAAAGGCAGUGGAAACUGGGAAGCUAGAGUGCCGUAGGGGUAGAGGGAAUUCCCGGUGUAGCGGUGAAAUGCGUAGAGAUCGGGAAGAACAUCGGUGGCGAAAGCGCUCUACUGGACGGCAACUGACACUCAGGGACGAAAGCUAGGGGAGCGAAUGGGAUUAGAUACCCCAGUAGUC
RNAcentral lists this ribosomal RNA (665 nucleotides) under uncultured bacterium. RNAcentral describes it as "bacterial SSU rRNA". It matches the Rfam family "Bacterial small subunit ribosomal RNA", at positions 99 to 795 of the family's 1533-position model. The record is from RNAcentral.